UUCCGGUUGAUCCCGCCGGACCUGACUGCUAUCGGAUUGAUACUAAGCCAUGCGAGUCAUUGUAGUAAUACAAGGCAGACGGCUCAGUAACGCGUAGUCAACCUACCCUAUGGACGGGGAUAACCUCGGGAAACUGAGAAUAAUACCCGAUAGAACAUUAUACCUGGAAUGGUUUAUGUUUCAAAUAAUCUAUUGCCGUAGGAUGGGACUGCGGCCUAUCAGUUUGUUGGUGAGGUAAUGGCCCACCAAGACUAUUACAGGUACGGGCUCUGAGAGGAGUAGCCCGGAGAUGGGUACUGAGACACGGACCCAGGCCCUAUGGGGCGCAGCAGGCGAGAAAACUUUGCAAUGUGCGAAAGCACGACAAGGUUAAUCCGAGUGGUUUCUGCUAAAGGAACCUUUUGUCAGUCCUAGAAACACUGGUGAAUAAGGGGUGGGCAAGUUCUGGUGUCAGCCGCCGCGGUAAAACCAGCACCUCAAGUGGUCAGGAUGAUUAUUGGGCCUAAAGCAUCCGUAGCCUGCUUUGUUAGUUUUCGGUUAAAUCCAUACGCUUAACGUAUGGGCUGCCGGGAAUACUGCAAAGCUAGGGAGUGGGAGAGGUAGACGGUACUCGGUAGGAAGGGGUAAAAUCCUUUGAUCUAUUGAUGACCACCUGUGGCGAAGGCGGUCUACCAGAACACGUUCGACGGUGAGGGAUGAAAGCUGGGGGAGCAAACCGGAUUAGAUACCCGGGUAGUCCCAGCUGUAAACGAUGCAGACUCGGUGAUGCCCUGGCUUGUGGCCCAGUGCAGUGCCGCAGGAAGCCGUUAAGUUUGCCGCCUGGGAAGUACGUACGCAAGUAUGAAACUUAAAGGAAUUGGCGGGGGAGCACACAAGGGUGAAGCUGCGUUCAUUGAUUCACGCCGAA
Molecule: ribosomal RNA, 907 nt
Filed under: uncultured archaeon
Lineage: Archaea
Description: bacterial SSU rRNA
Rfam family: Archaeal small subunit ribosomal RNA
Source: RNAcentral